This is a long non-coding RNA of Pantherophis guttatus, 490 nucleotides long. RefSeq lists it as uncharacterized. Lineage: Eukaryota; Metazoa; Chordata; Lepidosauria; Squamata; Colubridae. The record is from RefSeq and is a predicted model, not a curated record.
GAAGAAUCAGCUGAACGCAGAACAUCCAAAAUACCCAAAUGCAAGGAAUCUGGGGUGGACAGCAGACCAGUAAGAAAAAAGAAAAUACUCCGUGGAGGAAGGGAAAACUCAGAAAUCAUCUGUUCUUCUUGCCCAAAAUUCUUAAGUAAUGCCUGAAACUUGUGUCAAAGUUAUCAACACUCAGGAUGGAGACAGUGUUACUCACCGUGGUCUUAUCGGCCAGCAGCUUCUCAAUGACCUCAAUUAACUGGUCUUUCUGGUCUGAAUCAAGGCUGCAAGGAACAGACAAAGCCAUUGGGUGCAUAGACUUUUUCUUAAAGGCUGAGUCAACACACUGUGUCCCGACCAUAAUGUGAAUUAUUUCAUGUUGGGCUGAGCUUUGGCCCGUGAGCUGAAGACAAAGAGAUGCAUUUAAACACGAUUCACUGUUUGAAAUUCACAGGCCAACUUCAUCCCUUCAUUCACACGGAAACACGCCUGUCUGUAUAUA